RNAcentral lists this ribosomal RNA (492 nucleotides) under uncultured bacterium. RNAcentral describes it as "partial 16S ribosomal RNA". It matches the Rfam family "Bacterial small subunit ribosomal RNA", at positions 30 to 507 of the family's 1533-position model. The record is from RNAcentral.
AUUGAACGCUGGCGGCAUGCUUUACACAUGCAAGUCGAACGGUAACAGGCCUUCGGGUGCUGACGAGUGGCGAACGGGUGAGUAAUGCAUCGGAACGUGCCCAGAGGUGGGGGAUAACGCAGCGAAAGCUGUGCUAAUACCGCAUGUGAUCUGAGGAUGAAAGCAGGGGACCAGGCAGCAAUGUUUGGCCUCGCGCCUUUGGAGCGGCCGAUGUCAGAUUAGGUAGUUGGUGGGGUAAAGGCCUACCAAGCCGACGAUCUGUAGCUGGUCUGAGAGGACGACCAGCCACACUGGGACUGAGACACGGCCCAGACUCCUACGGGAGGCAGCAGUGGGGAAUUUUGGACAAUGGGCGCAAGCCUGAUCCAGCAAUGCCGCGUGCGGGAAGAAGGCCUUCGGGUUGUAAAACGCUUUUGUACGGAACGAAAAGGCUCUGGCUAAUACCUGGGGCUGAUGACGGUACCGUAAGAAUAAGCACCGGCUAACUACGUG